UUCUCCCCCUUCUCCAGGCCCCACCCGACCAUCUGCCACAAGGCCGACAUUUCCUGCACUCCAGCUGCCAGGCCGGAGUUUAUUCUAUUCCUGCUUUUCUGGGGAUAACAGGAUGAAAGGAUCCCAUUCAUCCAUCGCCCCCUCCCUCCCUCUUUCCUUUAUUUAAUCUCCCGGGAAACAAGCAAGUUUGAGGCAAAAAGAGAAUGCCGCAUAAACACGCAUGCUGUUCUCGCGCCAAGCGUCCACACGCGGGAAAGAUAUCUGGAUGGCAGACAUGAUGGGGUGAACGGGCCUGAUGAGCCAGAUUGGAGUCUUUAUCAGAUUACAGACCCUAUUAAACGAUCUGCACAGCAGCAGUGCCGGAUGAGUGUCAUCUCACUGCAGCAUUGGAUGUGAUUGUAUCUCAACCUUACCAGAGAGGGAAUAAUAAGUGAGAUUGAGAUUCACCGUUCGCUGCCGCCAUCAGAGCCUGGAGCUGUUCAGCUUCGGUAGGGGGGUUGGGCCACGGUCCUGUUCCUGCGAUCACACCAGCGCCGGCACCUGCCUCAUCAGGACGAGCUCCAGCCCUACAUGACAGAGAACAGGACUGGACAGCAUGUCGCUGGAAGCUGCAGGACACAUAAUCUGAUAGACCUAAACACAACAUUCCACUAGAAGGCUACACCAGGUGAAGUCAAACGCUACCACACACUAGCCUUCUCUUCGCCUUCACUCUACCUGGACUUCUCGUAUGGAGUCCAUCUCUGCUGCAGGGUGUGGAACCUGUGUUGGCUGAAACAUAAGCACAGGAGCAUGCAGCUGUCACUCAAUCACCCUGCGUCUGACCAGAGACUGACCAGAGCACAUGGAUGAGUGAGAAAGUCUUUGGGGUUCCUUUACCUUUAAACCUUAUAUAUUCUUAAGAUGUUGUGUCUCACAGGAAGUUGGUUCGCAUUUUUAUCUGAUGAUUGCUGUCAUCCCAUGUUUGAUGUAUUUGCGGGGAUUUUUCCCCAUAUGAUUUCUUUUGCAGGAUAUUCUUCACAUAAUUUGUUUUGUAGGAUUUUAUUUUUUGGAGGACUUUAUUUCUUUUGCUGAAUUUCUUUACAGGGUUUAUUUUUGCAUGAUUAUAGUAAAUUGUCACUGACAUUUUUAAUAUUCAUAAAAUGUCGAUAAUGGGCUAAAAUAUAGAAUUGAAAACACUUAAGGUAGGAAAAUUAGUAAAUUAUUUCAGACUCUAAUCUAGAUACUUUGGUAUUGGUUGAUUUUAAAUAUAAAUAUUGUUUUUUCUUCUUGCUGACUAAAUGCAGAAGACAGUGACCAUCAAAAAAUUAGCCACUCAAGUAUUUACAGGUAAUCUCAGAUUUUGAAAACACUGAAGGAAUGAACAUUACUUAAUUACUGCAUUUUCUAAUCUAGAUAUUUUGGUAUUUGCAAGACUCCACCCCAUGUUAUCCCUUUCGCUUGCUGAAAAAUGUAUUAAUAUUUUUGUUUUUUCUCAUAUCUAUUACUGUAAUGUUUUACUUGCUGGGAUUUCUAAAACCACCUUAAGUAAACUGCAGUUUGUUCAAAAUUCAGCUGCUAGAAUCCUGACAAGGACCGGGACAAAUGAGCACAUCUCUCCAGUUUUAGAGUCAUUGCACUUGCUCCCUGUCAGGUUUCAGAUUGAUUUUAAAAUUCUCAUGCUGACCUACAAGGCUUUGCAUGGUUUGGCCCCACAUUUUGUCACAACUGUUAACUGGUUAUCUUCCAAGUCGUGAUCUCUGCUCCUCUGAUUCUGGUCUUUUAGUGGUCCCCCUACUCAUUUGUGCUCUAUGGGUGAUCAGGCCUUCUAUUCUUGUGCACCAAAACUCUGGAAUUCACUUACCAUUGAGAUCAGACAGGCUAAGUCUUUUAGUGUUUUCAAAUCUGCUCUUGAACCCCACUUUUUCAGAAUAGCUUUAAAGUGAUUUCUUUGUGUCAUAUGUAUGGUGUUUAUUUUACUUUAUUUAUUAUUAUUAUUAUUAUUAUUAUUAUUAUUAU
This is a long non-coding RNA of Cyprinus carpio (common carp), 1998 nucleotides long. RefSeq lists it as uncharacterized. Lineage: Eukaryota; Metazoa; Chordata; Actinopteri; Cypriniformes; Cyprinidae. The record is from RefSeq and is a predicted model, not a curated record.